UCCACGCCGUAAACGAUGUGUGCUAGUUGUCGGGCGUUAUGCGUUCGGUGACGGAGCGAAAGUAUUAAGCACACCGCCUGGGGAGUACGGUCGCAAGAUUAAAACUCAAAGGAAUUGACGGGGACCCGCACAAGCGGUGGAGCAUGUUCUUUAAUUCGAAGCAACGCGAAGAACCUUACCCACUCUUGACAUCCUCCUUUGGACUUUCAGAGAUGAUUGUCUUCGGUUCGGCCGGGGG
Molecule: ribosomal RNA, 238 nt
Filed under: uncultured bacterium
Lineage: Bacteria
Description: partial 16S ribosomal RNA
Rfam family: Bacterial small subunit ribosomal RNA
Source: RNAcentral